AAAAACCUAUGAUGUCACAUCAUAUGUCACAACACCAGAGGAGAAAACAGUUGAAAGGAAAACACCAAAGAUGGAGAUGCCACUACUGUGGGAAAUUUGGUCAUCUGAAGCCUUUCUGCUAUAAACUGUAUGGCUAUCCUAGGCCUGCUCAUCAUCAGGAUCACUAUCAAUUCAGACCCAAGCAGCACAUGCCUAGCAUCAAGAAGCAAUGGGUCCCUAAGACUAAUGUCACAAGUCUGAUA
This 242-nucleotide long non-coding RNA is filed under the name Lathyrus oleraceus (garden pea). Its description in RNAcentral is "Pisum sativum (pea) long non-coding RNA (PSAT_LNC038448)". Lineage: Eukaryota; Viridiplantae; Streptophyta; Magnoliopsida; Fabales; Fabaceae. The record is from RNAcentral.